AUUGAACGCUGGCGGCAUGCCUUACACAUGCAAGUCGAACGGUAACAGGUCUUCGGAUGCUGACGAGUGGCGAACGGGUGAGUAAUACAUCGGAACGUGCCUAGUAGUGGGGGAUAACUACUCGAAAGAGUGGCUAAUACCGCAUGAGAUCUACGGAUGAAAGCAGGGGAUCGCAAGACCUUGUGCUACUAGAGCGGCCGAUGGCAGAUUAGGUAGUUGGUGGGAUAAAAGCUUACCAAGCCGACGAUUUGUAGCUGGUCUGAGAGGACGACCAGCCACACUGGGACUGAGACACGGCCCAGACUCCUACGGGAGGCAGCAGUGGGGAAUUUUGGACAAUGGGCGAAAGCCUGAUCCAGCAAUGCCGCGUGCAGGAUGAAGGCCUUCGGGUUGUAAACUGCUUUUGUACGGAACGAAAAGCCCCGGGUUAAUACCCUGGGGUCAUGACGGUACCGUAAGAAUAAGCACCGGCUAACUACGUGCCAGCAGCCGCAGUAA
RNAcentral lists this ribosomal RNA (498 nucleotides) under uncultured bacterium. RNAcentral's name for it is "partial 16S ribosomal RNA". It matches the Rfam family "Bacterial small subunit ribosomal RNA", at positions 30 to 523 of the family's 1533-position model. The record is from RNAcentral.